RNAcentral lists this long non-coding RNA (755 nucleotides) under Rattus norvegicus (Norway rat). Its description in RNAcentral is "long non-coding RNA NONRATT031545". Lineage: Eukaryota; Metazoa; Chordata; Mammalia; Rodentia; Muridae. The record is from RNAcentral.
UCGCGUGCGAAUGCGGGAGCUCGCCGCAGAGGCGCCCGGGGAGGCCUGGCCCACGACGCCCGUGGCUCCGCUGCGGCAGCGGCGGUGCUGGUGGCGCGCGCGGCCCGGAGGCGGCUCGCGCCGUGAGCGGGAUGCUGCGGCGGGCGACCCUUCCUGGACGGGCGAGGAAGAGCAAGCCGAUGGCUCCUGCGGCCGCGCUUCGACCCGGUAUCUUAGAAGAUGGUAAUGUGGUUGCCGAUGAUUCUGAAUAAAUACAGCUUUUAUCCCAGGUGUGCCAUUCUGAAGACUGAGACAAUAGAGUUUUUAAGAAUAAAAGAGAACCCUUGGGAAAUUCUGUAUUGUAUAUAUCAAAAAUAUGAAUCCUGAGGUGGAAUGAAAGGCGUGUAUACUAUAGACAUCGAAGCAUUUACACCCAGCUUGAAGAGUUUGAAAUGGACUUUACCACUGAGAAAUCAAGAUGGCAGCCCAUUAUGGGGAAUUGAGGAAAAUGGAUUAAUGCAAGAAUGCUGUGAUAUUACACAACCAACACAGGAUUCUUUUAAUAUGGAUGCCAUGAAAUGAAUGAUUCUUACCCAACACAAAUGGACAGUGGAAUUUACUUCCUAAAGACUUGUUUCGUAUCAUGUACAUUUUUGACAUCUGGAGAAGAUGCUACAUUUCUACAAAUGGUAGUUUGUAUUCCUGUAGAUUCUUGCCGUUUGCUCUGAGUGACCUUAUGGAAUGUUAACUUUAAUAAAAUUCUAAAACUUAAAAAA